AUCGGAAGUGAUGAUAAAUGUACAAUCCCAGCUCAUUAUGAGACCUUUUCCAAGGUCUGGGAAUGGAAUUAUCAACGUUUGUCUGAUCCCAAU
Small nucleolar RNA from Juglans regia (Persian walnut), 93 nucleotides. NCBI's taxonomy places the organism in Eukaryota, Viridiplantae, Streptophyta, Magnoliopsida, Fagales, Juglandaceae. The record is from RefSeq and is a predicted model, not a curated record.